This 272-nucleotide long non-coding RNA is filed under the name Phoenix dactylifera (date palm). RNAcentral's name for it is "long non-coding RNA (PDAC_LNC017897)". The record is from RNAcentral. Lineage: Eukaryota; Viridiplantae; Streptophyta; Magnoliopsida; Arecales; Arecaceae.
UGGACAGCUCUAUAUGAGAAGAAGAAACUUGCAGUCAAAUGGAGACACAAUAUCACAUAGAAGUACUCGAGUUAUUAGAUAUCAAGAUUUUGGAAGUGAGAUAAAUAUCAGAAUCUAAGUGUAGAUCUCAUCUUGAUGGAUACCUGACUAUCAUAGCUCAAUUUCUUUCAUGGCACGUCUGAAAGUCCAAUGGAAUGAAUAGAUAUCUCAAAACCGAGCUUUGCUAUUAUAACAAUUUAGGAUCUCAUCCAAAAAGGCUAGCUGGAAGGUAU